UUGGUAACGGCGAGUGAAGAGGGAAGAGCCCAGCACCGAAGCCUGCGGCAGUUUUGCUGUUAGGCAAUGUGGUGUGCGSGUUGGCUAGCGGGACCGUCACUCCACUCGAAGUCCAGCAUUGAGUAUGGUUAUCACUGGAUUUGGCCCAUAGAGGGUGAGAGGCCCGUACGGGUGGAGGUUCAGAUAUGUGCGACGGUUCACCAGGCCGACCUCAGAGUCGGGUUGUUUGAGAUUGCAGCCCAAAGUGGGUGGUAAACUCCAUCCAAGGCUAAAUACUGGCACGAGUCCGAUAGCGAACAAGUACCGUGAGGGAAAGUUGAAAAGUACUCUGAAGAGAGAGUAAACAGUACGUGAAGCCGCAUGCAGGUAAACGGGUGGCGUCAAGCUGCGAGCCCGGAGGAUUCAGCUGGCUGGGAUGUAGUGUACGCGCGCCCAGUGCGUCGAGAGGCCGGAAUAAGAUGUGGCGGUCCACUCCUAUGCUGGGGGUGGAGUACUAUCGGUUUGCGCCGAUGGUAACUAUGCAUGCCGGAUGGGUGCCGGAGCAUGCCGUUCAUCUGUUGGGUCGCCUAGUCAGUGCAUUUUCUCCGUGGUGAACACCACGACCGGUGGAGUUGCCAGUCUGCUGUCAUUAAGUCGUAUCUUCCUGGUGCCCCUUGCCGCCGUCCGUCUCUUUCGGACGGUAGUGUGAGUGUGUGUGCUGGGUGGGCACGAUCGCAGAUGGAGUCGGUGGACGGCGCAGUGAUGCCUCGGUAUCACCGCGUGUUAUCGUGCACUCUCUAUCGUAAACGAUAAGUGGGAUGGGGGCUGCGGUUCUGUAACAACCUCCUCACUAAUCGGCGGGUGGCAGUGGUGAAAGUGACUGUGCAGAGCAUCGGAGUUGUCCACCUCAUUGAGCAGUUCCCUCUGCUCAAAUGGUACCCGGCACGCACGUUGCAGGUGCUAUUGAAUCGGGGCAAGCCGCUGUCUGCCUAGUAUUCAGCCUGACUGUCGUGUUGCUCGCUUAAAAGGGUGAGUCCGGCAGUGGCUGUUGAUGCUUGGCAUUGGCAUCUUUCUAGCUUACCUCGGGUGUGUGUGGUACCGGGGGUGAAAUAGUCAGUGGUGCUGUGGUAGACGAGCUACCCGACCCGUCUUGAAACACGGACCAAGGAGUUUAACAUGUGUGCGAGUCAAAGGGUCCUACGAAACCCCGAGGCGCAGUGAAAGUGAAGUUCAUACGGGCUGCUGCUGCUGCUGGUUUUACCAAUAGUAGUAGUAGUAGUGUGACGAGGUGAGAUCUCCUUGUACUCAUGACACAUGCCGCCACAGCAAAGUGACCUUAUUGGGCAUUAAACGGGGCAAGGAGCGCAUCACCGGCCCGUCGCAUGUUGUAGCCGUGGGUGCACUUGUGUGUGGGUGGGUGCUGCAUCAUCAUCCUGUGAUGUUGCUGCUGCAUCAGAA
RNAcentral lists this ribosomal RNA (1437 nucleotides) under Moniezia sp. SV-2004. RNAcentral's name for it is "eukaryotic LSU rRNA". It matches the Rfam family "Eukaryotic large subunit ribosomal RNA", at positions 80 to 789 of the family's 3401-position model. The record is from RNAcentral. Lineage: Eukaryota; Metazoa; Platyhelminthes; Cestoda; Cyclophyllidea; Anoplocephalidae.